AGUGCUCCUGCUGACCUUCCCUGUCUGCAGCCCGGCUUUGGACUGUGGAGAUGCCCUCAGCCUCUACUCAGUGGCUCCAGCCUCAUAUUUGCGUGCUAUACCUUUAACCUCAAGCCCUCUUGCUGCUAACUUAAACUGCGACUGUCCAGGACCUGCACACACACAUACAUGCACACAUGCACACACACACACACACAGAAGGUGAACACACAGGAUGAGGCCCUGAAAACUCGUUUCACCCGUGUACCUCGCCCAAAAAUUCCCCUUUGUACUUCUAUCUUUAUCUCUAACUGACAGCAUGAAGGUAGCCCGAAGUCCCCUCACCCUGUCUGUCCUCCUGAUUCUCUAGCCCAGUUCCCUCUAGCUCCAGCACAGACUCUAAUCUCCAGCCCUGACUGCCGAAACCCUCCAGCCCCAGCUCCAGCCCCUCAGGAGGGGACUCCGUGGGAGGAACGACUCCAGCAAGCCGGCAGCUGACCCGUCUCCUGCCUGCACACCUCCCCCUGUGGUCCACUGCCGGUGGUCUUCAGCUGUCUCCUCGUCCCACCCCCAUGGUCUGCUGACAGCCCAGCUCAGCGCAUCCCUGCCAUCUCUGCUCUACCGCUGGUCCUCCCAACAACCAACUUACAGUGUUUCACUCCCAUCACCCAGACUGGAGUACAAUGGUGCGAUCUCAGCUUACUGCAACCUCUGCCUCCUGGGCUCAAGCGAUUCUCCUGCCUUGGCCUCCCAAGUAGCUGGGAUUACAGGUGCCUGCCACCACUCCUGGCUAAUUUUCGUAUUUUUUGUAAAGGCGGAGUUUCUCCAUGUUGCCCAGGCUAGUCUCAAACUCCUGAGCUCAAGCAAUCCACCCGCCUCGGCCUCCCAAAUAAGUGGAAUUACAGGUGUGAGCCACCAUGCCGGCCCUGAUGUAUCAAUAUUAAAACAUUUUCUUCAGCCUACAA
Long non-coding RNA from Gorilla gorilla gorilla (western lowland gorilla), 944 nucleotides. RefSeq lists it as uncharacterized. NCBI's taxonomy places the organism in Eukaryota, Metazoa, Chordata, Mammalia, Primates, Hominidae. The transcript is spliced from 2 exons. The record is from RefSeq and is a predicted model, not a curated record.